AUGAGCAGCUCGUUGGCGGUUGUGAGGGCAGGCAAGAGGGGGCGGAAUGGUGGCUACCGUUGUGACCCCUCUCCUUCGCGCCGUUCUUCGUCGUCUGGUUCCUGCUCCCUCCCCCACCUCCAGGCCUGCCCCAGGCCGGGACGCGGCCGCCUGGCGUGUCUUUGGGUGUCUCCUCCCGUGGUGUGGAACUACGGGGCAAGGAAGGCUGGCGGGAACCGGUUCAAGGAGCGCCUGGCGGCGUCAACCACAGAAGUCCAGUGCUACAAUUGUGGCUCGAAGGGCCAUUACAUCCAUUUCUCCUCUUUCUGCUUAGCUUGCGAGGUAGAAGGCCACACAUCAACUCAAUGCCCUGGGAAAUUUCUGAAGCGGGAGUUGGUGAUGUAUGGGUUUGGCAUGAGACAACUUGGCUUCUACCUUUGGGAGGGCGGUGUCAAUGUGGAAGAGGUGGUGCCCAACGCGGUCUUCGUGGUGGUUACAGAUGGCGAGGCGACGAUCAAGCAAGUCCAAGGGAAGAGCGGCACCAUCACCUUGCCGAUCAGCAAGCACGAGGCGGAGGUGGAGCCCAGGCCAUCUCUUGGCUCAAGGAGGCGUGGGUUCGGGUUCAUGGGGUGUCCGACAAGCUUUGUCCAGUGCCUCUCGUCAAGGAGUUCCUCCGUGUUGUUGAGAAGAUCAGAGGCAAUUUUGAGAUUUUUCGAGGCAAGGGGGCUUCAUCAUGUGCAUGGAGAUCUAGAAGGGCGGGCCUCCUCCUCGCUCAGGGCUGGACACCCCAGCACGUCCACGCCCGCUUCCGAAGACGACGGUUGCAUCACCAUGGAGUGGACACCGCCAGUCGAAAAGGAAAGUCAUCGGCCUCCUCUGAUGCUCACCAGCGGGUGUGGCCUCAGGCCAGCCGCAACUGCAGGUUGCGGCUAUCUCAUUCCCGUCGUUUAUCCAUGGGGGUCCUGUUCGUCCUUGCCUUCCCCUCCCUCCACCGGCUUUGACAUCUCACACGGAGUUGCCGCCGGUGGUCCCUGGUCGCUCGCUUCGUCUUCACUCUGGGUUGAUGUCGCCCCCGCACCCAUCGUCUCUCCUGUUGUGGUUGGAGCCCUAAAACUUUGUGAGGAGGCCUCUCGCUCUGGCUCGGCGCUGCUAUCGCCUCUGGAGGGCGUCGCUGGUUCUGUUUUACUGGUGACGACGGUGGCUUCCCCUGCCUCGGUCCCCAUCUCCUCUGCGGGCUCCCCUUGCCCUACGAUUCCGACAACUACCAACCCCUUUCUCUCCACGGCAGCCUGUGCUUCGGUUGCGAGACCGGGCCCGAUGACCAUGGAGCCUGUUUCGCUCUUGGAUCGCUUAGAGGGAGAAGCCAUCCUGGACUCCGUCCUGCCUGCGGAGGACUACCUUAAGGCCCAGGACCUGCUCGCGCCCACAGAGGAGUUUGGGGAGGGGCUGGACUCCAACCUCCCAUCGCUCCCCCCUCGUCCUCCAGGAAGAGCUCCCGCACAAGGAAGCUCGGCGAUGGCUACAUGGAAACUGGAGCCCUCGGGGCAAUUCUCUACGGGCUCCCUCUAUAAGGAAAUCUUUAGGAACCAUGCGUGUUACUCGAAGCCACCGGCUACCGUCUUGGACUCCAGCUUGCUCUCUUCUACUUGUACAAAUUCUGCUCAAGACCCCGAGAAGGCCCUGAUAGAAGUGGGACCGUCUCUUCUGAGCUUUGAAGUCCCGACUUGGAGACAGUUGGUGAGGCAUGGGGAGGAAUUACUGUUGCUUGACCACUUAUUGGACACCAUGCGAGCUAGGCUUGUCAGCACAACUCCACCUAGGCUGUUCUUCAUGCUUUGGGUGAGGAUGCUUUUUGCUGAUACGGUGCAGAAAGCUAUCUCUUCAGAUAUUCUUGAAGAGAGAAAGAGAGAUAUGAAACUGAAUCCCGUCGCCACCCAAAAUAAGAAAAAGACAAGAAAAAAGGAAACCCUCGCGCCAAUUGCCUCCGUCGCCUCCCCCCGACGACGUGCUCAUGGAGAUCCUUCUCCGCCUUUGUUUCCAAGCACUGGCGUAGCCUCAUCCACGACGGCCGCUACCUUUGGCGGCUUCGCGGCGUCCACAGCUGCCAAGAUGUCCCAUGACGACUGGGCGUUCCUCGUCUGGGACCUCGUGACCGGCCGCCGGCGCCACCUGGAGCUCCCCACGCAGGCCUGUCAAGGGAAAUUCGACUAUGGGGGACAGUUCUCUGCGGGGCCGGCUGACUGCCAUUCCUGCCCGUUGCUUAUCGCACUCGUUUCCCUAGUCAACGUGUUGGCAGCGGCAGUGGCAGAGGGAGCUCCUAUUGAGCGCUUUAAGCGCCGCCGAAGUAAACCGGCGCCUACAGCAAACGACAAGUGGGCCGGCCGACGAAUGCACCUGCGCAGAAAUUGUUUCGCAAAAAAAAGACCCACAAAAACCAGAGAGUACGAGGGCUUGACCUCAGGUCGCUUCUUGGAGCGCUUUAAGCGCCGCCGAAUCAACGUGUUGGCAGCGGCAGUGGCAGAGGGAGCUCCUAUUGAGCGCUUUAAGCGCCGCCGAAGUAAACCGGCGCCUACAGCAAACGACAAGUGGGCCGGCCGACGAAUGCACCUGCGCAGAAAUUGUUUCGCAAAAAAAAGACCCACAAAAACCAGAGAGUACGAGGGCUUGACCUCAGGUCGCUUCUUGGAGCGCUUUAAGCGCCGCCGAAGUAAACCGGCGCCUACAGCAAACGAUUCAAAUGAACAAAAAACAUAUGCACUCGUCUGCUCGGCUGAUUCAAAUGAACAAAAAAUGCACGUUCGUUUGGGUCAUCAUGUUGGCGUUGCUCUAAGUUCCCUAGUCUUUUCUUUUUCUUUUGAUCAUAUACACAAAAGUUCCCUAGUCAACGUGUUGGCAGCGGCAGUGGCAGAGGGAGCUCCUAUUGAGCGCUUUAAGCGCCGCCGAAGUAAACCGGCGCCUAGAGCAAACGACAAGUGGGCCGGCCGACGAAUGCACCUGCGCAGAAAUUGUUUCGCAAAAAAAAGACCCACAAAAACCAGAGAGUACGAGGGCUCGACCUCAGGUCGCUUCUUGGAGGCAUCGUUCAGCUAA
This 3069-nucleotide ribosomal RNA is filed under the name Triticum aestivum (bread wheat). RNAcentral's name for it is "partial small subunit ribosomal RNA". The record is from RNAcentral. Lineage: Eukaryota; Viridiplantae; Streptophyta; Magnoliopsida; Poales; Poaceae.